GAUGAAGAACGUAGCGAAAUGCGAUAAGUAAUGUGAAUUGCAGAAUUCAGUGAAUCAUCGAAUCUUUGAACGCACAUUGCGCCCGCCAGUAUUCUGGCGGGCAUGCCUGUUCGAGCGUCAUUUCAACCAUCAAGCCCCGGGCUUGUGUUGGGGACCCGCGGCUGCCGCAGGCCCUGAAAUGCAGUGGCGGGCUCGCUGUCACUCCGAGCGUAGUAAUACAUCUCGCUCUGGACGUGCUGCGGGUUCCGGCCGUUAAAAGCCUUAUUUACCCAAGGUUGACCUCGGAUCAGGUAGGAAGACCCGCUGAACUUAAGCAUAUCAAUAAGCGGAGGA
RNAcentral lists this unclassified non-coding RNA (333 nucleotides) under soil metagenome. RNAcentral describes it as "partial contains 5.8S ribosomal RNA, internal transcribed spacer 2, and large subunit ribosomal RNA". The stretch from base 1 to 120 matches the Rfam family "5.8S ribosomal RNA", at positions 35 to 154 of the family's 154-position model. The record is from RNAcentral.